Molecule: unclassified non-coding RNA, 857 nt
Filed under: uncultured Ascomycota
Lineage: Eukaryota; Fungi; Ascomycota
Description: sequence contains 18S rRNA gene, ITS1, 5.8S rRNA gene, ITS2, 28S rRNA gene
Rfam family: Eukaryotic large subunit ribosomal RNA (bases 446-857)
Source: RNAcentral
GGAGGGAUCAUUAGCGAGUAUAACUCUAAAACCAUUGUGAACGAACGAACCCGUUGCUUCGGCGGACGGCUUUGCCGCCGCCGGAAGAACGUAAACUCUUGUUAUUAUUGUUUCUCUGAGUACUUAUUCAAUAAGUAAAAACUUUCAACAACGGAUCUCUUGGUUCUGGCAUCGAUGAAGAACGCAGCGAAAUGCGAUAAGUAAUGUGAAUUGCAGAAUUCAGUGAAUCAUCGAAUCUUUGAACGCACAUUGCGCCCGCCAGUAUUCUGGCGGGCAUGCCUGUUCGAGCGUCAUUUCAACCAUCAAGCCCUAGGCUUGUGUUGGGGACCUGCAGCUGCUGCAGCCCCCUAAAAGCAGUGGCGGACUCGCUGUCAUUCCGAGCGCAGUAGUUACAUCUCGCUCUGGGUAUGGCGGCGUGCACUUGCCGUAAAACACUUUCUAAGGUUGACCUCGGAUCAGGUAGGAAUACCCGCUGAACUUAAGCAUAUCAAUAAGCGGAGGAAAAGAAACCAACAGGGAUUGCCCUAGUAACGGCGAGUGAAGCGGCAACAGCUCAAAUUUGAAAUCUGGCUUCGGCCCGAGUUGUAAUUUGUAGAGGAAGCUUCUGGCGCGGUGCCAUCCGAGUCCCCUGGAACGGGGCGCCAUAGAGGGUGAGAGCCCCGUAUGGAUGGAUGCCUAGCCUGUGUGAAGCUCCUUCGACGAGUCGAGUAGUUUGGGAAUGCUGCUCAAAAUGGGAGGUAAAUUCCUUCUAAAGCUAAAUAUUGGCCAGAGACCGAUAGCGCACAAGUAGAGUGAUCGAAAGAUGAAAAGCACUUUGAAAAGAGGGUUAAACAGCACGUGAAAUUGUUGAAAGGGAA